GGGGACGUAGCUCAACUGGGAGAGCGCUGGCUUUGCAAGCCUGAGGUUGCGAGUUCGAUCCUCGUCGUCUCCA
RNAcentral lists this transfer RNA (73 nucleotides) under Planctomycetaceae bacterium. Its description in RNAcentral is "tRNA-Ala". It matches the Rfam family "tRNA". Rfam says of the family: Transfer RNA (tRNA) molecules are approximately 80 nucleotides in length. Their secondary structure includes four short double-helical elements and three loops (D, anti-codon, and T loops). Lineage: Bacteria; Pseudomonadati; Planctomycetota; Planctomycetia; Planctomycetales; Planctomycetaceae. RNAcentral also lists the same sequence under 1 other name. The record is from RNAcentral.